GAUUCCCCUAGUAACUGCGAGUGAAGCGGGAAAAGCUCAAAUUUAAAAUCUGGCAGUUUAGGCUGUCCGAGUUGUAAUCUGGAGAAGUGUUUUCCGUGUUGGACCGUGCAAAAGUCUCUUGGAAUAGAGCAUCAUAGAGGGUGAGAAUCCCGUCUUUGGCACGGACUACCAAUGCUUUGUGAUACGCUCUCAAAGAGUCGAGUUGUUUGGGAAUGCAGCUCAAAAUGGGUGGUAAAUUCCAUCUAAAGCUAAAUAUUGGCGAGAGACCGAUAGCGAACAAGUACCGUGAGGGAAAGAUGAAAAGCACUUUGGAAAGAGAGUUAAACAGUACGUGAAAUUGUUGAAAGGGAAACGCUUGAAGUCAGUCGCGUCGUCCGGGACUCAGCCUUGCUUCUGCUUGGUGUAUUUCCCGGUUGACGGGCCAACAUCGAUUUUUGCUGGUGGAAAAAGGUGGGGGGAAUGUGGCACCUUUYGGUGUGUUAUAGCCCCUCAUUGUAUGCAUCAGCGGGGAUCGAGGACCGCAGCACGCCCUUGUGGCCGGGGUUCGCCCACGUAACGUGCUUAGGAUGUUGGCAUAAUGGCUUUAAUCGACCCGUCUUGAAACACGGACCAAGGAGUCUAACAUGCCUGCGAGUGUUAGGGUGAUAAACCCUUGCGCGUAAUGAAAGUGAAAGUUGGGAUCCUUGUCAUGGGGAGCACCGACGCCCGGCCUUGAACUUCUGUGACGGCGCCGCGGUGGAGCAUGUAUGUUGGGACCCGAAAGAUGGUGAACUAUGCCUGAAUAGGGUGAAGCCAGAGGAAACUCUGGUGGAGGCUCGUAGCGAUUCUGACGUGCAAAUCGAUCGUCAAAUUUGGGUAUAA
This 861-nucleotide ribosomal RNA is filed under the name Gerronema albidum. Its description in RNAcentral is "LSU rRNA". It matches the Rfam family "Eukaryotic large subunit ribosomal RNA", at positions 73 to 920 of the family's 3401-position model. Lineage: Eukaryota; Fungi; Basidiomycota; Agaricomycetes; Agaricales; Porotheleaceae. The record is from RNAcentral.